GGGGGGUGAGAAGUACUAAUGAGAAUAACAUUAGCAAUACUAAUAGUUAAUGCUUUGGGCAACAAUGCCCAAAUCACAUUUUUCCUACCAAAUAAAAGACUAAUGUAAGAGAAGUGAAGAGAGCUCUAAUGAUAUCACAACCUUAUUAUAUAUCACAAUGAGAAUUCUCUUCCUAUUAUAAGGAUUAAGGAGUGAAGCAAAUGCGUUAUGACUAAAAUACC
Molecule: long non-coding RNA, 221 nt
Filed under: Lupinus angustifolius (narrow-leaved blue lupine)
Lineage: Eukaryota; Viridiplantae; Streptophyta; Magnoliopsida; Fabales; Fabaceae
Description: long non-coding RNA (LANG_LNC003724)
Source: RNAcentral